This 323-nucleotide ribosomal RNA is filed under the name uncultured bacterium. Its description in RNAcentral is "bacterial SSU rRNA". It matches the Rfam family "Bacterial small subunit ribosomal RNA", at positions 28 to 334 of the family's 1533-position model. The record is from RNAcentral.
GAUGAACGCUGGCGGCGUGCCUAACACAUGCAAGUCGAGCGAGAAUUUACGGAAUGAAGCCUCGGCGGAUUUCUGUAAAGGAAAGCGGCGGACGGGUGAGUAACGCGUGAGUAACCUGCCCUUUGGAGGGGGGUAACACAUCGAAAGAUGUGCUAAUACCGCAUAACAUACAUUUACCGCAUGAUAGAUGUAUCAAAGAUUUAUCGCCAAAGGAUGGACUCGCGUCUGAUUAGAUAGUUGGUGAGGUAACGGCUCACCAAGUCGAUGAUCAGUAGCCGAACUGAGAGGUUGAUCGGCCACAUUGGGACUGAGACACGGCCCAG